Molecule: ribosomal RNA, 497 nt
Filed under: uncultured bacterium
Lineage: Bacteria
Description: partial 16S ribosomal RNA
Rfam family: Bacterial small subunit ribosomal RNA
Source: RNAcentral
GAUGAACGCUGGCGGCGUGCCUAAUACAUGCAAGUCGAGCGAACAGACGAGGAGCUUGCUCCUUCGACGUUAGCGGCGGACGGGUGAGUAACACGUAGGUAACCUACCUAUAAGACUGGGAUAACUUCGGGAAACCGGAGCUAAUACCGGAUAAUAUUUCGAACCGCAUGGUUCGAUAGUGAAAGAUGGCUUUGCUAUCACUUAUAGAUGGACCUGCGCCGUAUUAGCUAGUUGGUAAGGUAACGGCUUACCAAGGCAACGAUACGUAGCCGACCUGAGAGGGUGAUCGGCCACACUGGAACUGAGACACGGUCCAGACUCCUACGGGAGGCAGCAGUAGGGAAUCUUCCGCAAUGGGCGAAAGCCUGACGGAGCAACGCCGCGUGAGUGAUGAAGGUCUUCGGAUCGUAGAACUCUGUUAUUAGGGAAGAACAAACGUGUAAGUAACUGUGCACGUCUUGACGGUACCUAAUCAGAAAGCCACGGCUAACUACGUG